Molecule: ribosomal RNA, 1306 nt
Filed under: uncultured bacterium
Lineage: Bacteria
Description: bacterial SSU rRNA
Rfam family: Bacterial small subunit ribosomal RNA
Source: RNAcentral
AACGUACGCUGGCGGCACGCCUAACACAUGCAAGUCGAACGAAGUAGCAAUACUUAGUGGCAGACGGGUGAGUAACAUGUAGGUAUCUGCCCUUUGGCCUGGAAUAACACGAGGAAACUUGUGCUAAUACCGGAUAAGUCUUUACGGAGAAAGCUUUAUGCACCAUUGGAUGAGCCUGCACUUGAUUAGUUUGUUGGUGGGGUAAUGGCCUACCAAGACUGUGAUCAAUAGCUGAUUUGAGAGGAUGAUCAGCCACAUUGGGACUGAGACACGGCCCAAACUCCUACGGGAGGCAGCAGUGGGGAAUCUUGCACAAUGGAGGAAACUCUGAUGCAGCGAUGCCGCGUGAGUGAAGAAGGCCCUUGGGUCGUAAAGCUCUUUCGUCGGGGAAGAAAAUGACUGUACCCGAAUAAGAAGGUCCGGCUAACUUCGUGCCAGCAGCCGCGGUAAUACGAAGGGACCUAGCGUAGUUCGGAAUUACUGGGCUUAAAGAGUUCGUAGGUGGUUGAAAAAGUUAGUGGUGAAAUCCCAGAGCUUAACUCUGGAACUGCCAUUAAAACUUUUCAGCUAGAGUAUGAUAGAGGAAAGCAGAAUUUCUAGUGUAGAGGUGAAAUUCGUAGAUAUUAGAAAGAAUACCAAUUGCGAAGGCAGCUUUCUGGAUCAUUACUGACACUGAGGAACGAAAGCAUGGGUAGCGAAGAGGAUUAGAUACCCUCGUAGUCCAUGCCGUAAACGAUGUGUGUUAGACGUUGGAAAUUUAUUUUCAGUGUCGCAGGGAAACCGAUAAACACACCGCCUGGGGAGUACGACCGCAAGGUUAAAACUCAAAUGAAUUGGCGGGGACCCGCACAAGUAGUGGAGCAUGUGGUUUAAUUCGAAGAUACGCGCAGAACCUUACCAACACUUGACAUGUUCGUCGCGACUCUAAGAGAUUAGAGUUUUCGGUUCGGCCGGACGAAACACAGGUGCUGCAUGGCUGUCGUCAGCUCGUGUCGUGAGAUGUUGGGUUAAGUCCCGCAACGAGCGCAACCCUCACUUUUAGUUGCCAUCAUUAAGUUGGGCACUCUGAAAGAACUGCCAGUGAUAAGCUGGAGGAAGGUGGGGAUGACGUCAAGUCCUCAUGGCCCUUACGUGUUGGGCUACACACGUGCUACAAUGGUAUCUACAACAGGAAGCAAGACUGCGAAGUUAAGCAAAUCCCUAAAAGAUACCUCAGUUCGGAUUGCACUCUGCAACUCGAGUGCAUGAAGCUGGAAUUACUAGUAAUCGUGGAUCAGCGUGCCACGGUGAAUGCGUUCCCGGGUCU